GUGCUUGAGGGAUGAACAUUAAGUCCUUUAGAUAUAAAUCCAUCCCAUUCACUUUAUCAGCAACUUAUUCUCUUAUUGCUGAUCAUUGCAGGGUGGAAUAUUA
Cephalotus follicularis is the source of this 103-nucleotide non-coding RNA. NCBI's taxonomy places the organism in Eukaryota, Viridiplantae, Streptophyta, Magnoliopsida, Oxalidales, Cephalotaceae. The record is from Rfam.